GUCUACGGCCAUACCACCCAGAAUGACCCCAAUCUUGUCUGAUCUCGGAAGCUAAGCAGGGUCAGGCCUGGUUGGUAUUUGGAUGGGAAACAGUGAGACUGCAAACA
This 107-nucleotide ribosomal RNA is filed under the name Cavia porcellus (domestic guinea pig). Lineage: Eukaryota; Metazoa; Chordata; Mammalia; Rodentia; Caviidae. The record is from RNAcentral.